This is a transfer RNA of Ovis aries (sheep), 73 nucleotides long. It matches the Rfam family "tRNA". Rfam says of the family: Transfer RNA (tRNA) molecules are approximately 80 nucleotides in length. Their secondary structure includes four short double-helical elements and three loops (D, anti-codon, and T loops). The record is from Rfam. NCBI's taxonomy places the organism in Eukaryota, Metazoa, Chordata, Mammalia, Artiodactyla, Bovidae.
UCCCUGGUGGUCCAGUAGUUAAGAUUCUGUGCUUCCAAUGCAGAGGGUGCAGGUUCGAUCCCUGGUCAGGGAA